This 188-nucleotide ribosomal RNA is filed under the name uncultured eukaryote. RNAcentral describes it as "partial 18S ribosomal RNA". It matches the Rfam family "Eukaryotic small subunit ribosomal RNA", at positions 1299 to 1458 of the family's 1831-position model. The record is from RNAcentral.
UGGUGGAUUGAUUUGUCUGGUUUAUUCCGUUAACGAACGAGACCUUAUCCUAUUAAAUAGUAAUCUAGACACAAACUCUCUCUUUUUAUAAUUUAUUAUAACAAAGAAGGGUUAUAAAAAAUACUAAGAUCAUUUACUUCUUAAAGGGACAUUUCAUGUCUAAUGAAUGGAAGAUUGAGGCAACAACA